RNAcentral lists this unclassified non-coding RNA (308 nucleotides) under Hevea brasiliensis (rubber tree). The record is from RNAcentral. Lineage: Eukaryota; Viridiplantae; Streptophyta; Magnoliopsida; Malpighiales; Euphorbiaceae.
GUGCAUCUCUUCAUCUGAAGCCUCAUUGAGAGUCUCUUUUGGAGAUUCAUCACAACUUUCUACAUUCACAUUUGGGUUGGUUUUCUCCUUUAUCUGAAAUGGAAAAUUGAAAUUUGUGGAAUGCAUUAAAGAAAAAUUAAAAUAUGCUAACACAUAAAGGAUUGUAAAAUCUGGCAAUCAGUUCAACAAUCUAGAGUGGUGACAUCCUUGGGCUUGGUGGGUUCAAUCAUUUCCAUCUUUCGGAGAGAAAAAGGCAUAUUUUCAUUGAUUUGACGAAGUCACUUGUAUUUACAAUAAUUUGGUUUGGU